UGAGAUCACUUUGAAAGCUGAUU
Molecule: non-coding RNA, 23 nt
Filed under: Anopheles gambiae (African malaria mosquito)
Lineage: Eukaryota; Metazoa; Arthropoda; Insecta; Diptera; Culicidae
Also listed under: 1 other name
Gene: aga-bantam
Source: miRBase by way of RNAcentral